Long non-coding RNA from Aquila chrysaetos chrysaetos, 155 nucleotides. RefSeq lists it as uncharacterized. The record is from RefSeq and is a predicted model, not a curated record. Lineage: Eukaryota; Metazoa; Chordata; Aves; Accipitriformes; Accipitridae. The transcript has 3 exons.
GGAAGAGAGAAAGAUUUCACCGGUCCUGGGUCCAGUGCUGGUCCAGUCAGCCUAGGGGUCCAAUUCUGGUGGGCUUGCACACGUGGGGCUUCAGUUUGUGACCUUUUAUCAUCCUUGCCCCUCCUUCGGGCGGGCACUCGAACUCAUUAGGCUAA